AAAUUACCUGAUGUUUUGACGAUAUAACUCUUAAUGAAAAUUUAAUUGAAAAUUGGCAAAUCAUUCAUUUAAAGUGUAACACGAAGAAUGUAAAUGUGUACGUGGAUUUAAAAUGUGCGUAUAACAACAGUAUAAUAAUUAUAUAAAAAAAUGAAUUAAAUAAUGAAACAAAAGUAUAUUUAUAAAAAUCUAGUAAUUAAAUUAAUUUAUAAAAAUUUUUAAUUAAAAAACAUUAAUCUAAAUGACUAAAAAAAUUUAUUAUGAAUGGAAGCAUAAAAAUACAUUGAUAUUGUACAUUUUUAAAGCGCAAUAUUUGAGAUUUUUAAGAUGUAAAAAAUUAAUAAUUUAAAAACAAAAAAAAAGAAUAUAAAAUGAUGAAGAGUUUAAAAAGAAAUUACAGAUAGAUUUAUAAAA
Bradysia coprophila is the source of this 414-nucleotide long non-coding RNA. The record is from RefSeq and is a predicted model, not a curated record. Lineage: Eukaryota; Metazoa; Arthropoda; Insecta; Diptera; Sciaridae.